This 492-nucleotide ribosomal RNA is filed under the name uncultured bacterium. RNAcentral's name for it is "partial 16S ribosomal RNA". It matches the Rfam family "Bacterial small subunit ribosomal RNA", at positions 29 to 507 of the family's 1533-position model. The record is from RNAcentral.
AGUGAACGCUGGCGGUAGGCCUAACACAUGCAAGUCGAGCGGCAGCACAGUAAGAGCUUGCUCUUACGGGUGGCGAGUGGCGGACGGGUGAGGAAUACAUCGGAAUCUACUUUUUCGUGGGGGAUAACGUAGGGAAACUUACGCUAAUACCGCAUACGACCUACGGGUGAAAGCAGGGGAUCUUCGGACCUUGCGCGAUUGAAUGAGCCGAUGUCGGAUUAGCUAGUUGGCGGGGUAAAGGCCCACCAAGGCGACGAUCCGUAGCUGGUCUGAGAGGAUGAUAAGCCACACUGGAACUGAGACACGGUCCAGACUCCUACAGGAGGCAGCAGUGGGGAAUAUUGGACAAUGGGCGCAAGCCUGAUCCAGCCAUACCGCGUGGGUGAAGAAGGCCUUCGGGUUGUAAAGCCCUUUUGUUGGGAAAGAAAAGCAGCAGGUUAAUACCCCGCUGUUCUGACGGUACCCAAAGAAUAAGCACCGGCUAACUUCGUG